Molecule: non-coding RNA, 30 nt
Filed under: Mus musculus (house mouse)
Lineage: Eukaryota; Metazoa; Chordata; Mammalia; Rodentia; Muridae
Source: RNAcentral
UAAACCACAGCCGUUUAAAGAUUUCCUUUG